GAUGAAGAACGCAGCGAAAUGCGAUAAGUAAUGUGAAUUGCAGAAUUCAGUGAAUCAUCGAAUCUUUGAACGCACAUUGCGCCCCUUGGUAUUCCGAGGGGCAUGCCUGUUCGAGCGUCAUUAUAACCCCUCAAGCUCAGCUUGGUGUUGGGGCCUGCUGCACUGGCAGCCCUUAAAAUCAGUGGCGGCGCCAUCUGGCUCUAAGCGUAGUAAUUCUUCUCGCUAUGGAGUCCUGGUGGAUGCUUGCCAUCAACCCCCAAUUUUUCUAUGGUUGACCUCGGAUCAGGUAGGGGUACCCGCUGAACUUAAGCAUAUCAAUAAGCGGAGGA
Molecule: unclassified non-coding RNA, 329 nt
Filed under: soil metagenome
Description: partial contains 5.8S ribosomal RNA, internal transcribed spacer 2, and large subunit ribosomal RNA
Rfam family: 5.8S ribosomal RNA (bases 1-120)
Source: RNAcentral